UUUUAUGAGAGUUUGAUCCUGGCUCAGGACGAACGCUGGCGGCGUGCCUAAUACAUGCAAGUCGAACGCUUCUUUUUCCACCGGAGCUUGCUCCACCGGAAAAAGAGGAGUGGCGAACGGGUGAGUAACACGUGGGUAACCUGCCCAUCAGAAGGGGAUAACACUUGGAAACAGGUGCUAAUACCGUAUAACAAUCAAAACCGCAUGGUUUUGAUUUGAAAGGCGCUUUCGGGUGUCGCUGAUGGAUGGACCCGCGGUGCAUUAGCUAGUUGGUGAGGUAACGGCUCACCAAGGCCACGAUGCAUAGCCGACCUGAGAGGGUGAUCGGCCACAUUGGGACUGAGACACGGCCCAAACUCCUACGGGAGGCAGCAGUAGGGAAUCUUCGGCAAUGGACGAAAGUCUGACCGAGCAACGCCGCGUGAGUGAAGAAGGUUUUCGGAUCGUAAAACUCUGUUGUUAGAGAAGAACAAGGAUGAGAGUAACUGUUCAUCCCUUGACGGUAUCUAACCAGAAAGCCACGGCUAACUACGUGCCAGCAGCCGCGGUAAUACGUAGGUGGCAAGCGUUGUCCGGAUUUAUUGGGCGUAAAGCGAGCGCAGGCGGUUUCUUAAGUCUGAUGUGAAAGCCCCCGGCUCAACCGGGGAGGGUCAUUGGAAACUGGGAGACUUGAGUGCAGAAGAGGAGAGUGGAAUUCCAUGUGUAGCGGUGAAAUGCGUAGAUAUAUGGAGGAACACCAGUGGCGAAGGCGGCUCUCUGGUCUGUAACUGACGCUGAGGCUCGAAAGCGUGGGGAGCAAACAGGAUUAGAUACCCUGGUAGUCCACGCCGUAAACGAUGAGUGCUAAGUGUUGGAGGGUUUCCGCCCUUCAGUGCUGCAGCUAACGCAUUAAGCACUCCGCCUGGGGAGUACGACCGCAAGGUUGAAACUCAAAGGAAUUGACGGGGGCCCGCACAAGCGGUGGAGCAUGUGGUUUAAUUCGAAGCAACGCGAAGAACCUUACCAGGUCUUGACAUCCUUUGACCACUCUAGAGAUAGAGCUUCCCCUUCGGGGGCAAAGUGACAGGUGGUGCAUGGUUGUCGUCAGCUCGUGUCGUGAGAUGUUGGGUUAAGUCCCGCAACGAGCGCAACCCUUAUUGUUAGUUGCCAUCAUUCAGUUGGGCACUCUAGCAAGACUGCCGGUGACAAACCGGAGGAAGGUGGGGAUGACGUCAAAUCAUCAUGCCCCUUAU
RNAcentral lists this ribosomal RNA (1232 nucleotides) under Enterococcus faecium. RNAcentral describes it as "bacterial SSU rRNA". It matches the Rfam family "Bacterial small subunit ribosomal RNA", at positions 1 to 1205 of the family's 1533-position model. Lineage: Bacteria; Bacillati; Bacillota; Bacilli; Lactobacillales; Enterococcaceae. The record is from RNAcentral.